UACGUAGGGUGCGAGCGUUGUCCGGAAUUAUUGGGCGUAAAGAGCUCGUAGGCGGCUUGUCGCGUCGGAUGUGAAAGCCCGGGGCUUAACUCCGGGUCUGCAUUCGAUACGGGCAGGCUAGGGUUCGGUAGGGGAGAUCGGAAUUCCUGGUGUAGCGGUGAAAUGCGCAGAUAUCAGGAGGAACACCAAUAGCGAAGGCAGCUCGCUGGGACGUUACUGACACUGAGGCGCGAAAGCGUGGGGAGCGAACAGG
Molecule: ribosomal RNA, 253 nt
Filed under: uncultured bacterium
Lineage: Bacteria
Description: partial 16S ribosomal RNA
Rfam family: Bacterial small subunit ribosomal RNA
Source: RNAcentral